GUUAAAGUCAUCAACCAGAAUGACAACAAACCUGUCUUCACUCAAAACACCUUUGAGGGACAAGUUGCUGAAAACUCAGUAAAAGGUUCUGAAGUGAUUAAGGUCGAGGCUACAGAUGCUGAUGAACCAGAUAAUGCCAACUCAGAUAUCCGUUACAGUAUUCUGAGCCAGGACCCGCAGCUGCCCAGUGACAACAUGUUUGAAAUCAACUCAGUUACUGGAGCCAUCUGAGUUGCUGGUACUGGACUAGACAGAGAGAAAUAUCCACAGUACACUCUGACAGUACAGGCAGCAGAUAUGGAGGGAGAAGGGUUAUCUGGACAAGCACAAGUAAUCCUCAAGGUGGUGGAGAGCCAGUAGUCCUGGAAAAGCUUCAGGUCUCCUGUUCCUGCUUGAGAAGCGGAGAGAAGGAGCACAAAGACAUCAGAGACAUCUAUCACUGCGCUGGAGGCUGAUUCUACAUGACGCUCUCUUCAUAU
This is a long non-coding RNA of Oreochromis aureus, 479 nucleotides long. RefSeq lists it as uncharacterized. NCBI's taxonomy places the organism in Eukaryota, Metazoa, Chordata, Actinopteri, Cichliformes, Cichlidae. The record is from RefSeq and is a predicted model, not a curated record. The transcript is spliced from 5 exons.